UACCUCAAAAAACCACAACAGUCUGUUUCAUCCGUAUAGGAAUCAUCAGGUGGUCCUGAUGAUUCCUAUACGGAUGAAACAGACUGUUGUGGUUUUU
Non-coding RNA from Paramuricea clavata, 97 nucleotides. NCBI's taxonomy places the organism in Eukaryota, Metazoa, Cnidaria, Anthozoa, Malacalcyonacea, Plexauridae. The record is from the annotation of a GenBank genome assembly.